Molecule: long non-coding RNA, 406 nt
Filed under: Nicotiana benthamiana
Lineage: Eukaryota; Viridiplantae; Streptophyta; Magnoliopsida; Solanales; Solanaceae
Description: long non-coding RNA (NBEN_LNC014868)
Source: RNAcentral
CCAAGGCAACCUCCCACCACAAACCUCCAGGAUGGGCAAAAACAUAGAAACCUUCAUAAACACCAUUCGAGUUAAAAACACUACAUGCGGUGGAUGUUGCUCUCACACAUUUUGUACAAAUUCAAAAAACAAAGAACAGUCAUUUUAACGACUUGGGUGCCCCCAUUCGAGUUAAAAACGCUACAUGCGGUGGAUGUUGCUCUCACACAUUUUGUACAAAUUCAAAAAACAAAGAACAGUCAUUUUAACGACUUGGGUGCCCCCCUCCCCUAAUGGUAUCAAAGGCAAAAAACGCAAAAAACUCUAUGGUCCAUUGGGCCUUUAAGCAAAGCGCAAAUAAAGCGUGGCUUUAAUGAAGAAUGACACAGAUGGAGAAAAAUAAAAACAUAUAUGAAUAGUCCAAGAC